RNAcentral lists this ribosomal RNA (474 nucleotides) under uncultured organism. RNAcentral's name for it is "partial 16S ribosomal RNA". It matches the Rfam family "Bacterial small subunit ribosomal RNA", at positions 330 to 796 of the family's 1533-position model. The record is from RNAcentral.
CGUACACUCCUGCGGGAGGCAGCAGUGGGGAAUUUUGGACAAUGGGCGAAAGCCUGAUCCAGCCAUGCCGCGUGCAGGAUGAAGGCCUUCGGGUUGUAAACUGCUUUUGUACGGAACGAAACGGCCUUUUCUAAUAAAGAGGGCUAAUGACGGUACCGUAAGAAUAAGCACCGGCUAACUACGUGCCAGCAGCCGCGGUAAUACGUAGGGUGCAAGCGUUAAUCGGAAUUACUGGGCGUAAAGCGUGCGCAGGCGGUUAUGUAAGACAGUUGUGAAAUCCCCGGGCUCAACCUGGGAACUGCAUCUGUGACUGCAUAGCUAGAGUACGGUAGAGGGGGAUGGAAUUCCGCGUGUAGCAGUGAAAUGCGUAGAUAUGCGGAGGAACACCGAUGGCGAAGGCAAUCCCCUGGACCUGUACUGACGCUCAUGCACGAAAGCGUGGGGAGCAAACAGGAUUAGAAACCCCAGUAGUCC